RNAcentral lists this ribosomal RNA (1233 nucleotides) under Nysius graminicola. RNAcentral describes it as "16S ribosomal RNA". The stretch from base 992 to 1151 matches the Rfam family "Archaeal large subunit ribosomal RNA", at positions 2542 to 2701 of the family's 2987-position model. Lineage: Eukaryota; Metazoa; Arthropoda; Insecta; Hemiptera; Lygaeidae. The record is from RNAcentral.
GUAUUAUUUUAAUUAAAAUAAUUUUAUAUUUAGUAUAUUUUAUAGAAACAAUUAUUAUUAAUUAUAGUUAAUUUUACUGUAAGGGAUUAUAAAUUUAAUUAUUUGAAGUAUAAUUUUUAUUAGUACCUUUUGUAUCAGGGUUUAUUAAAUAAUUAAUAUAUAUAUUAUUAAUUCCCGAAAUUGUAAGAGUUAUCUUUAAAUGUAUUUUACUGUAUCAAAAUUAUUUAUAAUUUAAAGAUAGGGGUUAUAUACUAUUCAAUUAUAAUAUAUCUGGUUAUUUAAGAAAUGAAUUUAAUUCAUAAUUAUUAUGUUAUUUUUUAUAUUUAUUGAAUUUAAUAUAAUAAUUAAAAAUUAUGGGGGAUUAGCUCUAUAAUUUAUUUUAUAAAGAUUUUAAUUAAUUAAUUUUUGUAGGCUUGAUAACAGCCAUCUAAAAUUUCAUUAUAGUUUAUAUUAAUUAUUUAUUUUAUUUUAAAUCUUUUAUUUUUAUUAUUAAAUAUUAUUAUGUAAUUUUUUAAUGGUAGUUAAAAUGAUGGAAUUAGUAGUUUUUAUUAUUUAAAUAUAGUAAUUCGGCAAAUUUUGUCUUCGCCUGUUUAACAAAAACAUGUCUUAUAGAUAUUAAUUUUAAGUCUAGCCUGCUCAAUGAUUAAUUAAAUAGCCGCAGUAUCUUGACUGUGCAAAGGUAGCAUAAUCAUUUGUCUUUUAAUUGGAGGCUUGUAUGAAUGGUUGGACGAGGGAUAGUCUUUCUUUAUUUAAUUUUUGUGAAUUUAAUAUUUUAGUUAGAAAGCUAAAAUAUUUUUGUGGGACGAGAAGACCCUAUAGAAUUUUAUUAUUAACUUAUUAAUUUUGAAUUAAUUUGUUAAAUUAGUUUAUUAAUUUAAUAAUUUGGUUGGGGUGAUUAUGAAAUUUUAUUAACUUUUAUUUUUAAUUUAUUCAUUAAUUAUUGUUUAUUAUUGAUCCUUUUUUAAGGAAUAGAAGAUUAAAUUACCUUAGGGAUAACAGCGUAAUUCUUUUGGAGAGUUCUUAUCGAUUAAGGAGUUUGCGACCUCGAUGUUGGAUUAAAGUUAAUUUUUGGUGUAGAAGCUAAAUAUAUUAGGUCUGUUCGACCUUUAAAUCUUUACAUGAUCUGAGUUCAGACCGGCGUGAGCCAGGUUGGUUUCUAUCUACAAUGUAUUUUAAUGUUUUAGUACGAAAGGACCAAAUAUUAAUAAUAUUUAUUUAUAUUUGAUUUAUAUU